Molecule: unclassified non-coding RNA, 725 nt
Filed under: Hevea brasiliensis (rubber tree)
Lineage: Eukaryota; Viridiplantae; Streptophyta; Magnoliopsida; Malpighiales; Euphorbiaceae
Source: RNAcentral
AUAGGACUCUGCUUUAUUUACUAUGCCAAACGUAGCACAUAGGCACACACAGACACAGUAAUAAUCUAGCCAACAUGCAUGGAAGAGCGCAAAGUAGGGCUUUGUUUUAUUUACGCAGUAAAUAUAUAUGCAUUAAGGUCAUCCAUGCAAUUUAGUUUAAGUACUUUUAAUUCGGAAAAAGUUAUCAAGUUUUUCCAGGGUCUGCUUCGCAAUGUCUGCCAUAUCUGCAUUAAGUUUAGAAGCAGAUGUUUGAUGAUCUGGGGAAUACCUGUAGGUCCAGGUCCAUGACAUGCGUUGCAUAAUUGGGUAAGAUAUUAUAGCCUUGAAGUCAUGGACAUGAUAUUUUGAGGGGAUAUCACCACCAGUUACCCUGUAAAUAAAUACUUCCUCAGUGUUUUCAGUGAUCACCUCAGUCGACGAUUUGAUAUUCGGAGAACUUGGGCCGUACGUGACUUGGCGUUCCUCUGAGUUUUUGGGAUUUGGUGUGAUGGAUGUAUAUAGGUCAGGAAUGGCAACAGGAAACAUUAUUGUGGAGGUUCGAAUUGCACUCCAGAGCACAUCUGGUUGACUUUUGAUCAUAACCGUAACUUCACCUUUGCCUUCAGUUUCACUUGCCAUUUCCAUUUUCCUCGUAACUCCACCAGCGCUUGCAAUUUCACAAGCCAUUUCCAGAGAAACAAAGUAAAUUACUUGGAGGAUCGAUAUGCAUCUGGAGCUAACACAAG